ACACAUGCAAGUCGAGGGGAAACGACAUCGAAAGCUUGCUUUUGAUGGGCGUCGACCGGCGCACGGGUGAGUAACGCGUAUCCAACCUGCCCACCACUUGGGGAUAACCUUGCGAAAGUAAGACUAAUACCCAAUGAUAUCUCUAGAAGACAUCUGAAAGAGAUUAAAGAUUUAUCGGUGAUGGAUGGGGAUGCGUCUGAUUAGCUUGUUGGCGGGGUAACGGCCCACCAAGGCGACGAUCAGUAGGGGUUCUGAGAGGAAGGUCCCCCACAUUGGAACUGAGACACGGUCCAAACUCCUACGGGAGGCAGCAGUGAGGAAUAUUGGUCAAUGGACGAGAGUCUGAACCAGCCAAGUAGCGUGCAGGAAGACGGCCCUAUGGGUUGUAAACUGCUUUUAUAAGGGAAUAAAGUGAGUCUCGUGAGACUUUUUGCAUGUACCUUAUGAAUAAGGACCGGCUACUUCCGUGCCAGCAGCCGCGGUAAUACGGAAGGUCCGGGCGUUAUCCGGAUUUAUUGGGUUUAAAGGGAGCGUAGGCCGGAGAUUAAGCGUGUUGUGAAAUGUAGACGCUCAACGUCUGCACUGCAGCGCGAACUGGUCUUCUUGAGUACGCACAACGUGGGCGGAAUUCGUGGUGUAGCGGUGAAAUGCUUAGAUAUCACGAAGAACUCCGAUUGCGAAGGCAGCUCACGGGAGCGCAACUGACGCUGAAGCUCGAAAGUGCGGGUAUCGAACAGGAUUAGAUACCCUGGUAGUCCGCACGGUAAACGAUGGAUGCCCGCUGUUGGCCUGAAUAGGUCAGCGGCCAAGCGAAAGCAUUAAGCAUCCCACCUGGGGAGUACGCCGGCA
Molecule: ribosomal RNA, 849 nt
Filed under: uncultured bacterium
Lineage: Bacteria
Description: bacterial SSU rRNA
Rfam family: Bacterial small subunit ribosomal RNA
Source: RNAcentral